UGGGGAAUAUUGGACAAUGGGCGAAAGCCUGAUCCAGCCAUGCCGCGUGUGUGAAGAAGGUCUUCGGAUUGUAAAGCACUUUAAGCGAGGAGGAGGGUACUGGUAUUAAUACUACCAGGUACUGGACGUUACUCGCAGAAUAAGCACCGGCUAACUCUGUGCCAGCAGCCGCGGUAAUACAGAGGGUGCGAGCGUUAAUCGGAUUUACUGGGCGUAAAGCGUGCGUAGGCGGCUAAUUGAGUCGGAUGUGAAAUCCCCGAGCUUAACUUGGGAAUUGCAUUCGAUACUGGUUAGCUAGAGUGUGGGAGAGGAUGGUAGAAUUCCAGGUGUAGCGGUGAAAUGCGUAGAGAUCUGGGGGAAUACCGAUGGCGAAGGCAGCCAUCUGGCCUAACACUGACGCUGAGGUACGAAAGCAUGGGGAGCAAACAGG
Molecule: ribosomal RNA, 430 nt
Filed under: Pseudomonadota bacterium
Lineage: Bacteria; Pseudomonadati; Pseudomonadota
Description: Proteobacteria bacterium partial 16S ribosomal RNA
Rfam family: Bacterial small subunit ribosomal RNA
Source: RNAcentral